AAGGCAGAACCCGAAAAGCCGAAACAGAGUAGGGA
Molecule: non-coding RNA, 35 nt
Filed under: Chryseobacterium sp. IT-36CA2
Lineage: Bacteria; Pseudomonadati; Bacteroidota; Flavobacteriia; Flavobacteriales; Weeksellaceae
Also listed under: 1 other name
Description: DUF805b
Rfam family: DUF805b RNA
About the family: Bacteroidetes, Chlorobi (1 example), Proteobacteria.
Source: RNAcentral